Molecule: unclassified non-coding RNA, 228 nt
Filed under: air metagenome
Description: partial contains small subunit ribosomal RNA, internal transcribed spacer 1, and 5.8S ribosomal RNA
Rfam family: Eukaryotic small subunit ribosomal RNA (bases 1-46)
Source: RNAcentral
AAGUCGUAACAAGGUCUCCGUUGGUGAACCAGCGGAGGGAUCAUUACCGAGUUGUCCUCUGUGACACUCCCUUCAUACCCCUUGUGAACCUACCAUCGUUGCCUCGGCGGGCUGCCUCACAGCGUCCGCCGGCGGCCCAUUUCUAAAAUUCUGUAUAUUUUGAAAACCUAAUUCUGAACCUAUAACAAAUUUAUGUUAAAACUUUCAACAACGGAUCUCUUGGUUCUG